Molecule: ribosomal RNA, 519 nt
Filed under: uncultured soil bacterium
Lineage: Bacteria
Description: bacterial SSU rRNA
Rfam family: Bacterial small subunit ribosomal RNA
Source: RNAcentral
GGCAGCAGUGGGGAAUUUUGGACAAUGGGCGAAAGCCUGAUCCAGCAAUGCCGCGUGUGUGAAGAAGGCCUUCGGGUUGUAAAGCACUUUUGUCCGGAAAGAAAUGGCUCUGGUUAAUACCUGGGGUCGAUGACGGUACCGGAAGAAUAAGGACCGGCUAACUACGUGCCAGCAGCCGCGGUAAUACGUAGGGUCCAAGCGUUAAUCGGAAUUACUGGGCGUAAAGCGUGCGCAGGCGGUUGUGCAAGACCGAUGUGAAAUCCCCGAGCUUAACUUGGGAAUUGCAUUGGUGACUGCACGGCUAGAGUGUGUCAGAGGGGGGUAGAAUUCCACGUGUAGCAGUGAAAUGCGUAGAGAUGUGGAGGAAUACCGAUGGCGAAGGCAGCCCCCUGGGAUAACACUGACGCUCAUGCACGAAAGCGUGGGGAGCAAACAGGAUUAGAUACCCUGGUAGUCCACGCCCUAAACGAUGUCAACUAGUUGUUGGGGAUUCAUUUCCUUAGUAACGUAGCUAACGCG